Molecule: ribosomal RNA, 468 nt
Filed under: uncultured bacterium
Lineage: Bacteria
Description: partial 16S ribosomal RNA
Rfam family: Bacterial small subunit ribosomal RNA
Source: RNAcentral
GACGAACGCUGGCGGCGUGCUUAACACAUGCAAGUCGAACGGAAAGGCCCUGCUUUUGUGGGGUGCUCGAGUGGCGAACGGGUGAGUAACACGUGAGUAACCUGCCCUUGACUUUGGGAUAACUUCAGGAAACUGGGGCUAAUACCGGAUAGGAGCUCCUGCUGCAUGGUGGGGGUUGGAAAGUUUCGGCGGUUGGGGAUGGACUCGCGGCUUAUCAGCUUGUUGGUGGGGUAGUGGCUUACCAAGGCCUUGACGGGUAGCCGGCCUGAGAGGGUGACCGGCCACAUUGGGACUGAGAUACGGCCCAGACUCCUACGGGAGGCAGCAGUGGGAAAUAUUGCACAAUGGGCCGAAGCCUGAUGCAGCAACGCCGCGUGCGGAAUGACGUCCUUCGGGUUGUAAACCGCUUUCGCCUGUGACGAAGCGUUAGUGACGGUAAUUGGUAAAGAAGCACCGGCUAACUACGUG